CCUACGGGGGGCAGCAGUGAGGAAUAUUGGUCAAUGGCCGGAAGGCUGAACCAGCCAAGCCGCGUGAAGGACGAAGGUGCCAAGCAUUUUAAACUUCUUUUGUCAAGGGACAAAAUCAGGCUCGAGAGCCUGACCGAGGGUACUUGAAGAAAAAGCAUCGCCUAACUCCGUGCCAUCAGCCGCGGUAAUACGGAGGAUGCGAGCGUUAUCCGGAUUUAUUGGGUUUAAAGGGUGCGUAGGGGGACUGUUAUGUCAGCGGUAAAAGCCCGGGGCUCAACCCCGGCGAGCCGUUGAAACUGGCUGGCUUGAGAGGUCGAGAGGGAUGCAGAAUGCGAGGUGUAGCGGUGAAAUGCGUAGAUAUUGGGCGGAACUCCGAUUGCGAAGGCAGCAUACCGGCG
Molecule: ribosomal RNA, 398 nt
Filed under: uncultured bacterium
Lineage: Bacteria
Description: partial 16S ribosomal RNA
Rfam family: Bacterial small subunit ribosomal RNA
Source: RNAcentral